RNAcentral lists this ribosomal RNA (327 nucleotides) under uncultured eukaryote. RNAcentral describes it as "partial 18S ribosomal RNA". It matches the Rfam family "Eukaryotic small subunit ribosomal RNA", at positions 1470 to 1796 of the family's 1831-position model. The record is from RNAcentral.
CCCUUAGAUGUUCUGGGCCGCACGCGCGCUACACUGAUACAUUCAACGAGUUUCUUCCUGGUCCGAGAGGAAUGGGUAACCUUUUGAAAGUGCAUCGUGAUAGGGAUAGACUAUUGCAAUUAUUGGUCUUCAACGAGGAAUUCCUAGUAGACGUAGUUCAUCAGACUGCAUCGAUUACGUCCCUGCCCUUUGUACACACCGCCCGUCGCUCCUACCGAUUGAGUGGUCCGGUGAGGCUUUGGGAUCUGAGCGGAAAGAGCGUUUCGCUGUUUCUGCUCGGAAAACUCAGUCGAACCUUAUCAUUUAGAGGAAGGAGAAGUCGUAACA